GUGAAAGUGCGGGGCUCAACCCCGUAUGGCCAUAGAAACUGGUAGACUUGAGUGCAGGAGAGGGCAAUGGAAUUCCAUGUGUAGCGGUAAAAUGCGUAGAUAUAUGGAGGAACACCAGUGGCGAAGGCGGUUGCCUGGCCUGUAACUGACGCUGAAGCGCGAAAGCGUGGGGAGCAAAUAGGAUUAGAUACCCUAGUAGUCCACGCCGUAAACGAUGAAUACUAAGUGUUGGAGAAAUUCAGUGCUGCAGUUAACGCAAUAAGUAUUCCGCCUGGGGAGUAUGCACGCAAGUGUGAAACUCAAAGGAAUUGACGGGACCCCGCACAAGCGGUGGNAUUAUGUUGUUUAAUUCGACGCAACGCGAAGAACCUUACCUGGCCUUGACAUCCACGGAACUUUCCAGAGAUGGAUUGGUGCCUUCGGGAA
Molecule: ribosomal RNA, 426 nt
Filed under: uncultured bacterium
Lineage: Bacteria
Description: bacterial SSU rRNA
Rfam family: Bacterial small subunit ribosomal RNA
Source: RNAcentral